GGAGACCACAACGUUGAUAGGUGGGGUGUGUAAGCGUAGCGAUACGUUGAGCUAACCCAUACUAAUUACCCGUGAGGCUUAACCAU
Molecule: ribosomal RNA, 86 nt
Filed under: Aeromonas caviae
Lineage: Bacteria; Pseudomonadati; Pseudomonadota; Gammaproteobacteria; Aeromonadales; Aeromonadaceae
Also listed under: 1 other name
Description: partial 23S ribosomal RNA
Rfam family: Bacterial large subunit ribosomal RNA
Source: RNAcentral